Molecule: ribosomal RNA, 505 nt
Filed under: Clostridioides difficile
Lineage: Bacteria; Bacillati; Bacillota; Clostridia; Peptostreptococcales; Peptostreptococcaceae
Description: bacterial LSU rRNA
Rfam family: Bacterial large subunit ribosomal RNA
Source: RNAcentral
UGUGGGUAGCGGUGAAAUUCCAAUCGAGCCCGGAGAUAGCUGGUUCUCCCCGAAAUAGCUUUAGGGCUAGCCUCAAGGUGAGAGAUACGGAGGUAGAGCACUGAAUGUCCUAGGGGGUAUUGCACCUACCGAAGACUAUCAAACUCCGAAUGCCGUCAUCUUAUACUUGGGAGUCAGACUGUGGGUGAUAAGAUUCAUAGUCGAAAGGGCAACAGCCCAGAUCGUCAGCUAAGGUCCCUAAAUGUAAGUUAAGUGGUAAAGGAUGUGGGAUUGCACAGACAACCAGGAUGUUGGCUUAGAAGCAGCCACUCAUUCAAAGAGUGCGUAAUAGCUCACUGGUCGAGUGAUCCUGCGCCGAAGAUUUCCGGGGCUAAAACUUACUACCGAAGCUACGGCAUCAGUAAUGAUGGGGAGGGGAGCUUCCCAUACGGGUUGAAGCAUGACCGUAAGGACAUGUGGACAGUAUGGGAGUGAGAAUGUUGGCAUGAGUAGCGAGAUGUGGGUG